Molecule: ribosomal RNA, 445 nt
Filed under: uncultured bacterium
Lineage: Bacteria
Description: bacterial SSU rRNA
Rfam family: Bacterial small subunit ribosomal RNA
Source: RNAcentral
GCCAGACUCCUACGGGAGGCAGCAGUCGGGAAUAUUGCGCAAUGGAGGAAACUCUGACGCAGUGACGCCGCGUAUAGGAAGAAGGUUUUCGGAUUGUAAACUAUUUUCGUGAGGGAAGAAAUUGACAGUACCUCAGGAGGAAGCUCCGGCUAACUCCGUGCCAGCAGCCGCGGUAAUACGGAGGAUGCGAGCGUUAUCCGGAUUUAUUGGGUUUAAAGGGUGCGUAGGGGGACGCUUAAGUCAGGGGUAAAAUUGCGGGGCUCAACCUCGUCGAGCCGUUGAAACUGGGUGCCUUGAGUGGGCGAGAAGUACGCGGAAUGCGUGGUGUAGCGGUGAAAUGCAUAGAUAUCACGCAGAACUCCGAUUGCGAAGGCAGCGUACCGGCGCCCAACUGACGCUGAAGCACGAAGGCGUGGGUAUCGAACAGGAUUAGAUACCCCCGUAC